Molecule: long non-coding RNA, 1136 nt
Organism: Mytilus californianus (California mussel)
Lineage: Eukaryota; Metazoa; Mollusca; Bivalvia; Mytilida; Mytilidae
Exons: 2
Source: RefSeq, a predicted model, not a curated record
GUCGUCGUAUUGUCGUCCGAAGACACAUUGGUAUUCGCACUCUAACUUUAGUUAAAGUGAAUGGAUCUUUAUGAAAUUUUAUCAUAAGGUUCAAUACCACAAAUGGAAGGUUGGGAUUGAGUUUGGGGGUUAUGGUACCAACAGUUAAGGAAUUAGGGGCCAAAAAGGGGCCAAAAAUAAGCAUUUUUGUAACUUCCAGACAUAGCUUGUGUGUUAGUUUAUGGAUCUCUCUGACAUUGUACCACAGGGUUCCAUAUCACAAAGGGAAUGCUGGGAUUGAUUUUGGGGGUAAUUGCCUCAAAAUUUUGGGAAUUGGGGGCCAAAAAAAGGGGAAAAAAACAAGCAUUUUUCUAGUUUCAUGACAAUAACUUGUGUAUAAGUGUAUAGAUCUUUCUGAAAUUGUACUACAAGGUUCCAUAUCACAAAGGAAAAGCUUGAAUUUAGUUUGGGGGUAAUUGCCCAAAACGUUUAGGAAUAAGCGCCAAAAAGGGGCCAAAAAUAAGCAUUUUUCUAGUUUCCAGACAAUAACUUGUGUUCAAAUGUAUGGAUCUCUCUGAUAUUGUACUGCAAGGUACCAUACUACAAAGGGAAGGCUGGGAUUGAUUUUGGGGGUAAUUGCCUCAAAAUUUAAGGAAUUAGGGGCCAAAAAGGGGCAAAAAUCAAGCAUUUUUCUAGUUUCAGGACAAUAACUUGUGUGUAAGUGUAUAGAUCUUUCUGAAAUUGUACUACAAGGUUCCAUAUUACAAAGGAAAAGCUUGAAUUGAGUUUGGGGGUAAUUGCCCAAAACGUUUAGGAAUUAGGGGCCAAAAAGGGGCCAAAAAUAAGCAUUUUUCUAGUUUCCAGACAAUAACUUGUGUUCAAAUGUAUGGAUCUCUCUGAAAUUGUACUGCAAGGUACCAUACUACAAAGGGAAGGCUGGGAUUGAUUUUGGGGGUAAUUGCCUCAAAAUUUAAGGAAUUAGGGGCCAAAAAGGGGCAAAAAUCAAGCAUUUUUCUAGUUUCAGGACAAUAACUUGUGUGUAAGUGUAUGGAUCUUUAUGAAAUUGUACUACAAGGUUCCAUAUCACAAAGGGAAAGCUGGAAUUGAGUUUGGGGGUAAUUGCCCAAAACGUUUAGGAAUAAGGGGCCAAAAAAGGG